This is a long non-coding RNA of Zootermopsis nevadensis, 550 nucleotides long. RefSeq lists it as uncharacterized. Lineage: Eukaryota; Metazoa; Arthropoda; Insecta; Blattodea; Termopsidae. The record is from RefSeq and is a predicted model, not a curated record.
GGUUGGACACUAAUCGUUUCGAUUUCACCUCCUUAUCAGAAGCAGUCUCGACUGUCUUGCUGGGCAUAUCCUCAGUUAACAGUUGGUGACUUCAGACAGCCCUUGGUUCGCACAAGUGCCUUGCGUGUUUACGAUCUAAGGGGUGAGUCAAGUUGCACAGUGGGCCAUCGUUUGUAGUCGACUCACCAGCAACCUGACACAAAUAAGGAAACACAAUGGACAGCCGAGUUACUACACGGCGGACGCGGAGAGACGUGCCAUGUCACCAGCGACCUAAAAGGCAACAAAAAGUAUCCAGCUUCUGGAAUCUCCACUUUACGUUAAUGACACGUACAUAACAGUGGACUGACUGCUGAUCCAACUGUUUGUUUUUAUAUCAUCCAGAAUUCAAACACCUUGCUUUAACAGUCGUCAUCUCUGCGUUCAAGUACCUGUAAGCUGAUAAUAAUUACGUUUCAUACACAUCUUUCGACCUGUAAUUUGAUAAUCACUAUUAUAUUACCUAGAGGCAAAGCCAGUUAAAUAUAUGUAAUGAUUUUUGUGCCUGUUA